Molecule: unclassified non-coding RNA, 240 nt
Filed under: soil metagenome
Description: partial contains 5.8S ribosomal RNA, internal transcribed spacer 2, and large subunit ribosomal RNA
Source: RNAcentral
AACGCACGAGACCUGCGGACCUGCGGAAGGAUCAUUACAGAGUUCGUGCCCUCUGGGUAGAUCUCCCACCCACUGUUUUCCUUACGACCGUUGCUUUGGCGGGCCGCCGGCCCUGCCCGGCCGCCGGCGCCCAGCUGGCGCGCGCCCGCCAGAGGCCCUCCAGACUCUGAAUGUUAGCGUCGUCUGAGUACCACAUAAUAAGUUAAAACUUUCAGCAAUGGAUCUCUAGAUCGGAAGAGC